CUCUCGGCAACGGAUAUCUCGGCUCUCGCAUCGAUGAAGAACGUAGCGAAAUGCGAUACCUGGUGUGAAUUGCAGAAUCCCGCGAACCAUCGAGUCUUUGAACGCAAGUUGCGCCCGAGGCCAUUCGGCCGAGGGCACGCCUGCCUGGGCGUCACGCAAAACA
Molecule: ribosomal RNA, 163 nt
Filed under: Polypogon fugax
Lineage: Eukaryota; Viridiplantae; Streptophyta; Magnoliopsida; Poales; Poaceae
Description: 5.8S ribosomal RNA
Rfam family: 5.8S ribosomal RNA
About the family: 5.8S ribosomal RNA (5.8S rRNA) is a component of the large subunit of the eukaryotic ribosome. It is transcribed by RNA polymerase I as part of the 45S precursor that also contains 18S and 28S rRNA.
Source: RNAcentral